Molecule: transfer RNA, 76 nt
Filed under: Citrobacter portucalensis
Lineage: Bacteria; Pseudomonadati; Pseudomonadota; Gammaproteobacteria; Enterobacterales; Enterobacteriaceae
Description: tRNA-Lys
Rfam family: tRNA
About the family: Transfer RNA (tRNA) molecules are approximately 80 nucleotides in length. Their secondary structure includes four short double-helical elements and three loops (D, anti-codon, and T loops). Further hydrogen bonds mediate the characteristic L-shaped molecular structure. tRNAs have two regions of fundamental functional importance: the anti-codon, which is responsible for specific mRNA codon recognition, and the 3' end, to which the tRNAs corresponding amino acid is attached (by aminoacyl-tRNA synthetases). tRNAs cope with the degeneracy of the genetic code in two manners: having more than one tRNA (with a specific anti-codon) for a particular amino acid; and 'wobble' base-pairing, i.e. permitting non-standard base-pairing at the 3rd anti-codon position.
Source: RNAcentral
GGGGCGUUAGAUCAGUUGGUAGAGCAGUUGACAUUUAAUCAAUUGGUCGCAGGUUCGAAUCCUGCACGCCCCACCA